GGAAAUAAAACAAAAGGGGAAAAGAUCUUCAAAGCUCCAACCUUUCCAAAAGAAACAUGUUUUUCUGUAAUAAUGUAUUGCACAAUACAGUAUAGAAUGCUUCCCUACUCAUACAAAAAACAUAACCCUUUUUUUUAAAUGUAUGUAAAGGUAAAAACAGGCCAUCCUGAGCCAUGGCUUUGGGGAAAACAAGUGCUGUAUCCACUGUAGCUUCCUGCUGUAGCUGUUUAUCACUGCCUGUUUGACAGGAAGGACGUGUCUCCGCCACAUCGGAUGAGCCUUGACAUUUCCUUGGUAGAGUUACUGGUCGGGGUAAGGGAGAGACAAACGCCAUCCUGCUAAUAUUUGCCUUUUCUAAACAUGCGUCUUGCCCAUAUCAUGUACAUAGUUAAACAAAACAGAAAAAUGGCUGAUGUAAAGUGUUCAGAGACACCGUGGAUGAUAUUCACAAAAAGCAGAGCCCUUAUGCGUUUGCCAUCGGAUAUCUUCAAAGAGACAAGUGUAUCGUGACAGCUGGGGACAAACAACAUUUGUUUUUCGGGACUUAUUGAAGCUCGCACCCAGCGUAACGGGACAUGGUAUUUUGUGUCCCGUCCAAUGAAAUCAGGAGGGAGAAUUUCAGUGGGGGAGCACUGGAUCUGUCCCACACAUCCCACCAUUGUUGUCCAAUGUUUCUGCGAUGGCAGGACAUGGCACAAAAACCUUAACCAAAGAGAAAUCUGAAAAGAAAGUUGUGGCUUUUGGUUGUAUUUUGGUAAUUUCUAAGUGGUCUAAUGGGUUUGGCUUUGUUAUAGUUUAUCUGAGGGCUUACUUGCAGACAAGGAAACACACGCAAAGCAUUAAAGAGUUGAAUGGAACUGUCAUCAUGAUGUUGUUUGAUGCGGAUAGUGUGCGCAAAUGUGGUAUUUUUCUGCAUAAAGCUGUUGCUACAUACCGUGAAUCAACCUGCCAUUACAGUCUGUCUGGGAUGUUUCAUUAAAGCUCUGAAAGUUUCAAGUAGCAAUCAGUAGUCUUUUGUAACGACGGUGCUUCUAUUAUCUUUACAGAAGCAGUAUUCAAUAUGUAGACAACAAGCGCUUUGAUUGCUUGAAUGAAAAUUCUACAUAUUCGAGAAGACUCAGCAAGUACAUUAAACAUGCUCUUCACUCCUGUGCCCUGAUUGUGUGUAUUUUAGACACUUUGGUUAACUGGUGUAUUGAAGCUAUAACCUUAUUAUUUCUCGUCUGUCAAUACACACAGUGUCAAAGCCUAUUAUGGCAGUACUUUGGUCUGUGCUUUUAUUGGUUUCGGCAUGCCAUGGUUGAUUCUGUGUCGAGUUUGGUAGUAUGCAAGUUUGACUCUGAAGUUUGUUUACCUGCUAUGAAGUUCCGGCGGUAUCAGUUUGGUUAGUGGGAUGUGAUCAAGCAGCUGAGGUCUGGUGUGAAUGGACACUUUCCAACAUCAUGAGCAAUGGCAAUUCCUUUCAACAAUUUAGUUAUUAUCAUUUUCAGACACAAUCAUGCAAUUAAAAGUUUGAAUGUGCGCCACCAUGUCUGCUAGCGUUUGAAAGUCCAGGUCAACCCCUCCUGGUGAUUAGCUGUAUGGUCACAGGAGGUAGCUAAGGGGAACGAUGGUCUGGGGUAGUAAUGGAGGAGCUAGACAUUGGGGGGGGGCAGAGGUCAACACCAUAUCACAAUGAUCAUAACAUACAUACAUAAACGUCACAGGGGUACCUCGGAGCUUAUCCCGUUUGAAUUAUGUGUCUCAAAUAGUCCAAAAAACAUGAUCACUUGAUGCAUCUGGUGAUGAAAAUGUUUCAUUUGAUCUAUGUUGUGUGUAUGAGGCCAACUGUGUCACAUUUACAAUGAUCGACAUUUAAAUGUUUGUGAGCGCGGCUGCUACAGGCCCUUUGUUGCUUUGAGUAAAGGCCUGAAGACUGUGGAGAUCUUUAGCUUACACUCAACCUACAUCUUUGCAAACAAACAGUAAUCUGUUCAAAAGCAACGUUGCAAAGAUUGGGUAUCAAAAUGAGCUUUUAGGUUUACUUCAGCUUAACACUGGCAUGUCACUGAAUCGUACAGGAAUAGCUUGGCCUGUACCACGGGGAGACAGUUACUAAUCACACACACACACACACACACACACACACACACACAGACACAGACACACACACACACACACACACACACACACACACACACACACACACACACACACACACACACACACACAGGUUGAUGAGGACCAAACGAGGGGGUUUCUUCAGUGGCAGAAACAGAACAAUUGAAAUGAUGCAUCAAGUUUGACAAUUCUUAGAUAUGUUAUAGACAUGAAUCAGAUCAAUUUGAAACCCGAGCCAUGACCAUUUCCUCUUCUCUUUUUCUGAUCAAACAUUUGAAUAUAUUUGGGAUUUCUUUUGUUGUUACACAAUCUGUUGAGUCCCUUGCUGCAGGAUGA
Molecule: long non-coding RNA, 2436 nt
Organism: Gasterosteus aculeatus aculeatus (three-spined stickleback)
Lineage: Eukaryota; Metazoa; Chordata; Actinopteri; Perciformes; Gasterosteidae
Source: Ensembl